Molecule: long non-coding RNA, 1952 nt
Organism: Empidonax traillii (willow flycatcher)
Lineage: Eukaryota; Metazoa; Chordata; Aves; Passeriformes; Tyrannidae
Exons: 3
Source: RefSeq, a predicted model, not a curated record
GUGUUUGUGACAUGUAUUUUGUCAUGUAAGUGGCCUUUUGAGGUCUCAAAAAAAAAGGUGUUAAAUUUACACGACCUUCUUAUCUGUUGACAGCUACAUUUUCCUAAUCAGAAGAAGCAAGUUUAGAGCACAGUUGUUAUUGCUGCUCCUGUUAUUUUUCAAACUUCCUGAUGGCAAUUGUGUCAAAUGUCAGUAUUUGAAGAAGGUGAAGGAGCUGAUCAAGUUAAAUUCCGAGAUUGCUUUGUCAUCAUAAAAGGGUAAAGAGUGACUGCAAAUACUCUUCAUGAAAAGCAAAUGGAAUAUCUGAAGCUUUUUUCACUGGUUUUGCUUGAGUGGAGUAAAUCCCAGUUCAUGGUGGCAGGCAUGAGUGAAGGGCAAGAAUCCAGGGAAAAUGUGCGCCAACACUCACAAAUGAAAUAACUGGGAGUUGGUUCCUCCUUGCACACUUAAGGCUGGAAGUCAGUGACAAUUAGUGGUGAAAGUCACUCUUUCCCCCAGCAGAACUUUGCCUUAUGUCUUUACUGACAAUCUCCUAUUGGGGUUUGUCAAGUAUCUCUUCUGGAGCACGAAUGACACUACACCAGACAGCUCCUAAUAUCUUUUACUCUGUACAAGAAAAGCUAUUCCACUUCACCCUUGAGGUUUCAGAGUGGAGCUUUUCCAAGCUAAGUGCACAGAGUUUUAAAGAAGCGUAUAUAUGUUAGCGUGUAUAUUGUAAAUACACACACACAGAUAUAUAUACAUAUUGACACGCUCAUAGUUUAUUAAUGUUCUUAUGUCUGUAAAUACUGAUGAUAUAGGAAAAUGUAAUAUGACCUUAUAAAAAUAAUUUGUUAGUACAUAGUAAAGUACAGGCUCCCACUGCAACUCAGUUGUUAUUUAUAAUUAACAAAAGUAGGUUUCCCAGACACAAAUGGGAACUAUUGUGGUUUAACCAUAUUUUGAUUUUUGGUUGUUUAAAAAUUUCUGUGACUAAUCUCUUCAUUAUAAGUUCAGGGUAGCUUGAGUAAUGCAGUGCUGAGAGCAACUGAAUCUGCUCACUGCUGACUCCAAACCCCCUGCGCAUCUUCAGUGUGUAGCUACUACUCUGGAGCGUACAUACCUGCAAUUGUCUGGCUUUCAUUGGCAGGUAUAUAGGAAAUUAGAUGUGGUAUUUGAUGGCUCAGUUUCGUUUUGGGGGGUUUACAGUGUUGAUCUCAGCAGAGUUUAGACAAUGUGAUCUUACUGAAGUGCAGUAUUGGACAGAAGUGAGAAAUGUGCUUAUUCAGAAAUCCAGCUGUCAAGUGCUUUAAAAACUUCUCUGUUGGAUGUGGAUACCACUGCAUGGAGCACAAUAAAGAAGAAAUAUUUGCCUUAGGAAUUAUGCUGUCCUUACUCAGCAUCUUUUUGUAACUACAUUGUUAACCAGAACUCGCCGUGUUGCUGUGUGAGCUGAUGAAUGGAUUGGCAUUGACGUAGUGAGUCUUUUUUUCCGGUGUCAAAACAUUACAGUGCAUUUAGAGCUGCCCCUGGCUAAAGCCAUUUUAAGUGAGAGAGAGAAAGAGUAUGAACGAGAUUUACAGUAAAGGUCUUUUCUUCUUUGUAGAUCGCUGAAGGGUGGAGGGAGAGCCUCCCCCUGCCUGUCAGUGUGAACUUGGCUGUUCUACGUAGCAGCACCCAGGGUUCCCUGCAAGGUUGAAGCAAUGAGAAAAUACAUACCUAGAUUCCAUGUAUUUACUAAAAAGGAGAAUUUUGGAUUGCAAAAUGACGCGCCGGAUUCUGCUAGAGACAUGCUAUUGAAGCCUUAGCGGAGCUUUGGUUCGUCGUAAUGCCCAUCCCUCCUCUGACUUGUAGCUGUGGCACACCUGCUCGUCCACUCCUUUUCACCUGUUCAUCUUUUCCCCCUGCAUGCCCUAAAGGGCUCAUUCCGACGAGGAAGCCUCUCUUCCCUAUUCGUCCAGCGAUCGCUCACA